AAUAUUGCACAAUGGGCGCAAGCCUGAUGCAGCCAUGCCGCGUGUGUGAAGAAGGCCUUCGGGUUGUAAAGCACUUUCAGCGGGGAGGAAGGCGGUGAGAUUAAUAACCUCAUCGAUUGACGUUACCCGCAGAAGAAGCACCGGCUAACUCCGUGCCAGCAGCCGCGGUAAUACGGAGGGUGCAAGCGUUAAUCGGAAUUACUGGGCGUAA
RNAcentral lists this ribosomal RNA (211 nucleotides) under Klebsiella pneumoniae. RNAcentral's name for it is "partial 16S ribosomal RNA". It matches the Rfam family "Bacterial small subunit ribosomal RNA", at positions 360 to 563 of the family's 1533-position model. The record is from RNAcentral. Lineage: Bacteria; Pseudomonadati; Pseudomonadota; Gammaproteobacteria; Enterobacterales; Enterobacteriaceae.